This 250-nucleotide ribosomal RNA is filed under the name uncultured bacterium. RNAcentral's name for it is "partial 16S ribosomal RNA". It matches the Rfam family "Bacterial small subunit ribosomal RNA", at positions 525 to 775 of the family's 1533-position model. The record is from RNAcentral.
ACGUAGGUGGCGAGCGUUAUCCGGAAUUAUUGGGCGUAAAGAGGGAGCAGGCGGCGGCAGAGGUCUGUGGUGAAAGACUGAAGCUUAACUUCAGUAAGCCAUAGAAACCGGGCUGCUAGAGUGCAGGAGAGGAUCGUGGAAUUCCAUGUGUAGCGGUGAAAUGCGUAGAUAUAUGGAGGAACACCAGUGGCGAAGGCGACGGUCUGGCCUGUAACUGACGCUCAUUCCCGAAAGCGUGGGGAGCAAAUAG